CUAUGGCUACUAGAAAAGCCAGGCUGGCAAGUGACUUUCAGUGGUCACUCAGGACCCCUUCCUGCAGAUACAAACAAAGCAUGAGUAAGUCUUAGCAAGCUCUUCCCCACAGGUUAGGGGAAACACUGGUGAUGGGAGUAGCUCUUCUUGCUUUUAGCUGAAUGACAACCAUCUUGCCAGCAGGUAGCUGAAGCUGGCAGAGGAGCCCAGUGGCGCCUUUUCAGUGGUUCUUGGGAUGCUCCGCAGCCAAUUAAGCCGACUGAGUUCCUUUCCUCAUGGGGACCCAGUGUGCGAUGGCUGCACACAGCAGCUUCCUUGGUAGUGUACGCAGCCUGUUGGUUGUAUGGGUUGCUCUAAGGGA
RNAcentral lists this long non-coding RNA (361 nucleotides) under Homo sapiens (human). RNAcentral's name for it is "long non-coding RNA NONHSAT223133". The stretch from base 241 to 361 matches the Rfam family "Small nucleolar RNA SNORA70", at positions 1 to 121 of the family's 135-position model. Lineage: Eukaryota; Metazoa; Chordata; Mammalia; Primates; Hominidae. The record is from RNAcentral.